RNAcentral lists this ribosomal RNA (496 nucleotides) under uncultured bacterium. RNAcentral's name for it is "partial 16S ribosomal RNA". It matches the Rfam family "Bacterial small subunit ribosomal RNA", at positions 29 to 507 of the family's 1533-position model. The record is from RNAcentral.
AUGAACGCUGGCGGCGUGCCUAAUACCUGCAAGUCGCGCGAACAGACGAGGAGCUUGCUCCUCUGACGUUAGCGGCGGACGGGUGAGUAACACGUGGAUAACCUACCUAUAAGACUGGGAUAACUUCGGGAAACCGGAGCUAAUACCGGAUAAUAUAUUGAACCGCAUGGUUCAAUAGUGAAAGACGGUUUUGCUGUCACUUAUAGAUGGAUCCGCGCCGCAUUAGCUAGUUGGUAAGGUAACGGCUUACCAAGGCAACGAUGCGUAGCCGACCUGAGAGGGUGAUAGGCCACACUGGAACUGAGACACGGUCCAGACUCCUACGGGAGGCAGCAGUAGGGAAUCUUCCGCAAUGGGCGAAAGCUUGACGGAGCAACGCCGCGUGAGUGAUGAAGGUCUUCGGAUCGUAAAACUCUGUUAUUAGGGAAGAACAAAUGUGUAAGUAACUAUGCACGUCUUGACGGUACCUAAUCAGAAAGCCACGGCUAACUACGUG